This 496-nucleotide ribosomal RNA is filed under the name uncultured bacterium. RNAcentral describes it as "partial 16S ribosomal RNA". It matches the Rfam family "Bacterial small subunit ribosomal RNA", at positions 899 to 1397 of the family's 1533-position model. The record is from RNAcentral.
ACUCAAAGGAAUUGACGGGGGCCCGCACAAGCGGCGGAGCAUGCGGAUUAAUUCGAUGCAACGCGAAGAACCUUACCUGGGUUUGACAUGCGCCCCGACGCGGCGGAGACGCCGCGGCCUUCGGGGGGGCGCACAGGUGGUGCAUGGCUGUCGUCAGCUCGUGUCGUGAGAUGUUGGGUUAAGUCCCGCAACGAGCGCAACCCUCGUUCCAUGUUGCCAGCGGCUCGGCCGGGGACUCAUGGGAGACCGCCGGGGUCAACUCGGAGGAAGGUGGGGAUGACGUCAAGUCAUCAUGCCCCUUAUGUCCAGGGCUUCACGCAUGCUACAAUGGCCGGUACAAUGGGCGGCGAUGCCGCGAGGCGGAGCGAAUCCCAAAAAGCCGGUCUCAGUUCGGAUCGGGGUCUGCAACUCGACCCCGUGAAGUCGGAGUCGCUAGUAAUCGCAGAUCAGCAGCGCUGCGGUGAAUACGUUCCCGGGCCUUGCACACACCGCCCGU